AGCCUGAAGGUGAAGACAGAAGGCUCGAGCUUCGAAGACCCAGACCAGAAUUCUCCCUUCUCCUUCUCUUCGACCCCGAUGAGCACUUUGUGUACGCCCCCAACCCCAGAGAACAAGUUCAUGGGCAGCUUCUCGGCUGCGUUCCCCUCGCCUGCAACCUCGGAAUCAAAGCACUUCUCGCCAUCACCAUGCCGGGUGAGCAGCUUCGGAGACGCUCCACCUCUGCAUAUAACAGAGUCCGACCUCAGUGACUUCAUCUCUGCCACGACCUCAGCAGCCACCUCCUCCGCCAUGGACAUCGCCUUCAUGCUCGACUCAGUGGGGUUCGACCCAGCUUUCCAUUUCGAUGCUUCGAGCUUCCUCCAUAACCUGUGACCGACAGAGAAGCAGAGCAGUACGUGAAGCCCC
Molecule: long non-coding RNA, 408 nt
Filed under: Musa acuminata (dwarf banana)
Lineage: Eukaryota; Viridiplantae; Streptophyta; Magnoliopsida; Zingiberales; Musaceae
Description: long non-coding RNA (MACU_LNC003056)
Source: RNAcentral